Molecule: ribosomal RNA, 301 nt
Filed under: uncultured bacterium
Lineage: Bacteria
Description: partial 16S ribosomal RNA
Rfam family: Bacterial small subunit ribosomal RNA
Source: RNAcentral
CAGUAGCCACGGUAAUACGUAGGUCCCGAGCGUUGCCCGGAUUUAUUGGGCGUAAAGCGAGCGCAGGCGGUUAGAUAAGUCUGAAGUUAAAGGCUGUGGCUUAACCAUAGUACGCUUUGGAAACUGUUUAACUUGAGUGCAGGAGGGGAGAGUGGAAUUCCAUGUGUAGCGGUGAAAUGCGUAGAUAUAUGGAGGAACACCGGUGGCGAAAGCGGCUCUCUGGCUUGUAACUGACGCUGAGGCUCGAAAGCGUGGGGAGCAAACAGGAUUAGAGACCCGAGUAGUCCCUGUCUCUUAUACA